RNAcentral lists this microRNA precursor (124 nucleotides) under Brassica rapa (field mustard). RNAcentral describes it as "MIR9563 microRNA precursor family". It matches the Rfam family "MIR9563 microRNA precursor family". The record is from Rfam by way of RNAcentral. Lineage: Eukaryota; Viridiplantae; Streptophyta; Magnoliopsida; Brassicales; Brassicaceae.
GUAAUAUAAGAUACGAUCUCUUAGCUUUUAACUAAAAAAACUAAGAGACGUCUCUUAAAUAAGAGAUAUAAGAGACGUUUCUUAGCUUUUUUAGUUAAAGAUAAAAGAUUGUAUCUUAUAUUAC